GACGAACGCUGGCGGCACGCCUAACACAUGCAAGUCGAGCGGAGAUUGAGAGCUUGCUCUCAUGAUCAGCGGCGGACGGGUGAGUAACACGUGAGCAACCUGCCUUUCAGAGGGGGACAACAGUUGGAAACGACUGCUAAUACCGCAUAACAUUGCCGAACGGCAUCAUUUGGCAAUCAAAGGAGCGAUCCGCUGAAAGAUGGGCUCGCGUCUGAUUAGAUAGUUGGUGAGGUAACGGCCCACCAAGUCGACGAUCAGUAGCCGGACUGAGAGGUUGAUCGGCCACAUUGGGACUGAGACACGGCCCAGACUCCUACGGGAGGCAGCAGUGGGGGAUAUUGGACAAUGGGGGAAACCCUGAUCCAGCGAUGCCGCGUGAGGGAAGAAGGUUUUCGGAUUGUAAACCUCUGUGGACAGGGACG
Molecule: ribosomal RNA, 422 nt
Filed under: uncultured bacterium
Lineage: Bacteria
Description: bacterial SSU rRNA
Rfam family: Bacterial small subunit ribosomal RNA
Source: RNAcentral